RNAcentral lists this long non-coding RNA (598 nucleotides) under Mytilus galloprovincialis (Mediterranean mussel). Lineage: Eukaryota; Metazoa; Mollusca; Bivalvia; Mytilida; Mytilidae. The record is from RNAcentral.
UGCUUGGUAAUAUAUAAUGAUCUUUUUCUCUCUAGAUUUAAAAAAUAAGUGUAUGAAAUUCAUGAAUUUAAUUUGUAAAUUCCAACACUAUUUUUACUAUUAAUUUGUUUGGCUCUUCCAGAAAACUAAAGGCAAUUUUCUAAAAUGCUAAAACAUAUGAGUGAAUAUUUUUAUAUGAAUAUUUUAUAUUCACAUACAUUUAAUGAUGUUAAUAAAACUUAGGAAUCAAUAGCAUAUGCAAGGGUGUAGAGGUGUAUUGACCCCUUUUAUCAUAACACUCUUCACUUUUUUGGCUUAAAAUCAAUGAUCAGCUGUAAAAAUCUAACAAAGGGAAAUAACUGAAGAUGGGAAAUAAAACUGUAUUUUAAAAGUUUAGAGUUUUGAAAUCAGAAUGGCCAUUUCAUGUGUUCAUAUAAAUCCUGUAAAAGGGUACAUUAAAAAAUACAAAAAUAAAAUUGGUUGUUGCUCAUUUGAAGGUUUCAAACUUAAAAUAGAAAAAAAAAAUAACAUUAAGGGCACAUUGCUAUUCCUUUGAUACAAACCUCUAUAUAUUUUGAUUUUUUUGUGCAUGCCAAAUUUUAUUGAAUGUGAUCAAAUU